This 553-nucleotide long non-coding RNA is filed under the name Pongo abelii (Sumatran orangutan). RNAcentral describes it as "lincRNA". The record is from RNAcentral. Lineage: Eukaryota; Metazoa; Chordata; Mammalia; Primates; Hominidae.
AUCUCCGACUUGUGUCAAGAAACGGGAAGUUCUGGGCCCAGAUCCCCAUAAGUCAGCGAUGACAGGGGCCGAGCAGGGGCUGCCCGUUAGACGGCCGCAGAGUCCCAGCCCCCAGCCCUGCUCACCUUUCUUACCUCUCUGGCCCCGUCGGCAUUUGAGCCUGGGACCCCAGACGAAAGGAUACGCUUCCUUUUAGAACUUCUGCCAAUCUGAGGACGGGGCCACCCCACAGACGCCGUGGCUCAGCAAGCAGACCAAUGGCCAAGGAGUCUGGCAAGGGGCGCUUGAUGAGAGUGGAGGCUGUAAAUCACCCUCUAUGCAAUGGCUUAUCAUAAAGGAUAUGGAGCAAAAUUAGAGGAGGCACGAGAAGGAAAGCUGGUGAUGAACAAGGAAAGUGCCUGGUUGAAGCUAGCUUGCAAUCCCAAAGUCAGAAGGUUGCCUGGGAAGCCAGGAAACAAAGCCAAAUCAAGGCAAAGCAGACACAUGGAGAUUUUGAGACUGAGAAGAGGGAAACUGAGGACAUUCAUGUGAGAUGGGGUUCAAGUUUCCCUUA